Cinara cedri is the source of this 456-nucleotide non-coding RNA. The record is from the annotation of a GenBank genome assembly. NCBI's taxonomy places the organism in Eukaryota, Metazoa, Arthropoda, Insecta, Hemiptera, Aphididae.
UAUGCAUUGUCUUAAUUCGAAAAUCUGUAGACACUACGGUCAGGUGUAUAAGCUGGGAUUUAUUUCUUGGUUUGUUUCCUUUGAUGUCCUGGACAAACCGGGAGACCUGCUUCAUUACCCGGUCCGAUUUGAUGACACAAACCUCUCCACGGUAGCGUCGUGGAUUUAUUCAACAUUAAGCUAACAUGUGCAAAUUCUCUCUGGUAGGCGAGUGUCUGUACUUUCCCACCGAGGUUGUAUCUGACAAGAGACCGAGAUUACGGGUUCGCCUCUCAGCGUUGUUAAUCAGGGAUCUUUUUCGCGUUCCAGCCAUCAGCUUGCACUGUGGGGUAUCCUCGGUUAACCCAUUUACCUCUAGCAAUGGAGAUUAUGUUAUCAAACGCGAUUCGGUAAACCUCCGGGGUUGACUGAUUAUCCGUGAUCCGUUGGUGGUUGAGUGUCGAAAUAUAUCCUUUU